AGUCACUGACAUUAGAUACCCGGGUAGUCCCAGCCGUAAACAAUGUGCGUUAGGUGUGUCGGUAACCACGCGUUACUGAUGCGCCGAAGAGAAAUCGUGAAACGCACCACCUGGGAAGUACGGUCGCAAGGCUGAAACUUAAAGGAAUUGGCGGGGAGCACCACAACAGGUGGAGACUGCGGUUUAAUUGGAUUCAACGCCGGACAUCUCACCGGAUAAGACAGCUGAAUGAUUGUCAAUCUGAAGGUUUACAUGACUAGCUG
This 263-nucleotide ribosomal RNA is filed under the name uncultured archaeon. Its description in RNAcentral is "partial 16S ribosomal RNA". It matches the Rfam family "Archaeal small subunit ribosomal RNA", at positions 719 to 982 of the family's 1478-position model. The record is from RNAcentral.